Molecule: long non-coding RNA, 621 nt
Filed under: Nicotiana benthamiana
Lineage: Eukaryota; Viridiplantae; Streptophyta; Magnoliopsida; Solanales; Solanaceae
Description: long non-coding RNA (NBEN_LNC006091)
Source: RNAcentral
CUGAGGCACGCAAGUCAAACCCGACGAGAAUUAAGCAAUCACAGUUUUGGUGAUAACCCUCCCUGGGGCAGGAGAUAGCCACCAAAGAGAGGAAACGGUAGUAAUGUGCCUGGCCGCUCCGUUUUUUAAAGAGUCGUCAGUAUACUUUGGACUACUUCAUUUGAAUCUCGAUAUAUCUAUGGAUACAAAAAAAGUGCAAUUUGCAUGAAUAAGAGGUCUUUUAUUGUAUGACUUUGGAUUUUAUCUUUUCCUAAGAGUUUUCACAUAGGCACUGGCUUGCGAGGUCACCCUUACUAUUUUGACAAACUUCUGAAACAAAAUUCCACAGUUAAAACAAAAAGUGAGACUCGUGUCCCUCAUAUGAGGUUGCCCUUACUAUUUUGACAAACUUCUGAAACAAAAUUCCACACAGAGUUAAAACAAAAUUCGAGACUCGUGUUCCUCCUCAUAUUUUCGAAUUUUAACAUAUGCUAAAGAUUAUUAAUAGCUCCAAUGUCUGCACAUGAUUGUAUCAAGUAAUUCCUGUAUGACCUAAGUCAAGGCACAAGGCCAACCUUGAAUAAUGGAAAUUCAAAACAAACUUUCAUAAUAUGUUACAGAAAAGCUAGGCCCAGAAGAAGC